This 550-nucleotide ribosomal RNA is filed under the name uncultured bacterium. RNAcentral describes it as "bacterial SSU rRNA". It matches the Rfam family "Bacterial small subunit ribosomal RNA", at positions 355 to 896 of the family's 1533-position model. The record is from RNAcentral.
UAGGGAAUCUUCGGCAAUGGACGGAAGUCUGACCGAGCAACGCCGCGUGAGUGAAGAAGGUUUUCGGAUCGUAAAGCUCUGUUGUAAGAGAAGAACGAGUGUGAGAGUGGAAAGUUCACACUGUGACGGUAUCUUACCAGAAAGGGACGGCUAACUACGUGCCAGCAGCCACGGUAAUACGUAGGUCCCGAGCGUUGUCCGGAUUUAUUGGGCGUAAAGCGAGCGCAGGCGGUUAGAUAAGUCUGAAGUUAAAGGCUGUGGCUUAACCAUAGUACGCUUUGGAAACUGUUUAACUUGAGUGCAAGAGGGGAGAGUGGAAUUCCAUGUGUAGCGGUGAAAUGCGUAGAUAUAUGGAGGAACACCGGUGGCGAAAGCGGCUCUCUGGCUUGUAACUGACGCUGAGGCUCGAAAGCGUGGGGAGCAAACAGGAUUAGAUACCCUGGUAGUCCACGCCGUAAACGAUGAGUGCUAGGUGUUAGACCCUUUCCGGGGUUUAGUGCCGCAGCUAACGCAUUAAGCACUCCGCCUGGGGAGUACGACCGCAAGGUUG